RNAcentral lists this ribosomal RNA (427 nucleotides) under uncultured fungus. RNAcentral describes it as "eukaryotic LSU rRNA". It matches the Rfam family "Eukaryotic large subunit ribosomal RNA", at positions 1 to 422 of the family's 3401-position model. Lineage: Eukaryota; Fungi. The record is from RNAcentral.
GACCUCAAAUCAGGUAGGACUACCCGCUGAACUUAAGCAUAUCAAUAAGCGGAGGAAAAGAAACUAACAAGGAUUCCCCUAGUAACGGCGAGUGAAGCGGGAAAAGCUCAAAUUUGUAAUCUGGCGGUCUUUGGCCGUCCGAGUUGUAUUCUAUAGAAGCGUUAUCCGUGCCGGACCGUGUACAAGUCUCUUGGAACAGAGCGUCAUAGAGGGUGAGAAUCCCGUCCUUGACACGGAAGCCCGGUGCAUUGCGUUGCGCUUUCUAAGAGUCGAGUUGUUUGGGAAUGCAGCUCAAAUUGGGUGGUAAAUUCCAUCUAAAGCUAAAUAUUGGCGAGAGACCGAUAGCGAACAAGUACCGUGAGGGAAAGAUGAAAAGCACUUUGGAAAGAGAGUUAAACAGUACGUGAAAUUGUUGAAAGGGAAACGC